Molecule: ribosomal RNA, 482 nt
Filed under: uncultured bacterium
Lineage: Bacteria
Description: partial 16S ribosomal RNA
Rfam family: Bacterial small subunit ribosomal RNA
Source: RNAcentral
AUUGAACGCUGGCGGCAUGCUUUACACAUGCAAGUCGAACGGUAACAGGCCGCAAGGUGCUGACGAGUGGCGAACGGGUGAGUAAUGCAUCGGAACGUGCCCAGUCGUGGGGGAUAACUACUCGAAAGAGUAGCUAAUACCGCAUACGAUCUAUGGAUGAAAGCGGGGGACCGUAAGGCCUCGCGCGAUUGGAGCGGCCGAUGUCAGAUUAGGUAGUUGGUGGGGUAAAGGCUCACCAAGCCAACGAUCUGUAGCUGGUCUGAGAGGACGACCAGCCACACUGGGACUGAGACACGGCCCAGACUCCUACGGGAGGCAGCAGUGGGGAAUGUUGGACAAUGGGCGCAAGCCUGAUCCAGCAAUGCCGCGUGCAGGAAGAAGGCCUUCGGGUUGUAAACUGCUUUUGUACGGAACGAAACGGCUCUGGUUAAUACCCGGGGCUAAUGACGGUACCGUAAGAAUAAGCACCGGCUAACUACGUG